Molecule: small RNA, 317 nt
Filed under: Arabidopsis thaliana (thale cress)
Lineage: Eukaryota; Viridiplantae; Streptophyta; Magnoliopsida; Brassicales; Brassicaceae
Description: ATSL053020
Source: RNAcentral
UAGGGUUAUUUUCUUUCGUUGUGCCUCUUUAUUACAACUUUCCGUUAUAAUAUCGACAAUUAUCUUUUUCGUUUAUGUACUCCUCUUGAUUCCUGAGUCCAAAAUCGUCCUUAGCUUUCUUUUCUUUAGUUUUUACUCCAAAAUAUCUCCACAUCUCCAUUGUUGUCCCACUGCAUAGAAUACUUGAAAAGACACUAAAAAGACUCGAGAAAUAACAUAAAGACUCAAAAUCCUAUACCUAAAACAUAAAUAAAAUCAGUGAAAAUAGGAUUAUAUCAAUAUCGCAGGGGUCCGAGUCCUAUUAUUAUUAAUGCUUU